AAGCGUGGGUAGCAAACAGGAUUAGAUACCCUGGUAGUCCACGCCGUAAACGAUGUCUACUAGUCGUUGGGUCCCUUGAGGACUUAGUGACGCAGCUAACGCAAUAAGUAGACCGCCUGGGGAGUACGGCCGCAAGGUUAAAACUCAAAUGAAUUGACGGGGGCCCGCACAAGCGGUGGAGCAUGUGGUUUAAUUCGAUGCAACGCGAAGAACCUUACCUGGUCUUGACAUAUCUAGAAUCCUGCAGAGAUGCGGGAGUGCCUUCGGGAAUUAGAAUACAGGUGCUGCAUGGCUGUCGUCAGCUCGUGUCGUGAGAUGUUGGGUUAAGUCCCGCAACGAGCGCAACCCUUGUCCUUAGUUACCAGCACUUCGGGUGGGAACUCUAAGGAUACUGCCAGUGACAAACUGGAGGAAGGCGGGGACGACGUCAAGUCAUCAUGGCCCUUACGACCAGGGCUACACACGUGCUACAAUGGUAGGUACAGAGGGCAGCUACACAGCGAUGUGAUGCGAAUCUCAAAAAGCCUAUCGUAGUCCAGAUUGGAGUCUGCAACUCGACUCCAUGAAGUAGGAAUCGCUAGUAAUCGCGGAUCAGAAUGCCGCGGUGAAUACGUUCCCGGGCCUUGUACACACCGCCCGUCACACCAUGGGAGUUGAUUGCACCAGAAGUGGUUAGCCUAACUUAGUGAGGGCGAUCACCACGGUGUGGUCGAUGACUGGGGUGAAGUCGUAACAAGGUAGCCGUAGGGGAACCUGCGGCUG
This 762-nucleotide ribosomal RNA is filed under the name uncultured bacterium. RNAcentral's name for it is "bacterial SSU rRNA". It matches the Rfam family "Bacterial small subunit ribosomal RNA", at positions 757 to 1520 of the family's 1533-position model. The record is from RNAcentral.